This 491-nucleotide ribosomal RNA is filed under the name uncultured Saccharibacillus sp. RNAcentral's name for it is "partial 16S ribosomal RNA". Lineage: Bacteria; Bacillati; Bacillota; Bacilli; Caryophanales; Paenibacillaceae. The record is from RNAcentral.
UACGUAGUUAGCCGGGGCUUUCUUCUCAGGUACCGUCACUCCGGGUGCAGUUACUCACCCGGACGUUCUUCCCUGGCAACAGAGCUUUACGAUCCGAAAACCUUCAUCACUCACGCGGCAUUGCUCCAUCAGGCUUUCGCCCAUUGUGGAAGAUUCCCUACUGCUGCCUCCCGUAGGAGUCUGGGCCGUGUCUCAGUCCCAGUGUGGCCGUUCACCCUCUCAGGUCGGCUACGCAUCGUCGCCUUGGUGAGCCGUUACCCCACCAACUAGCUAAUGCGCCGCAGGCCCAUCUCUCAGUGACAGCUUGCGCCGUCUUUCCUCAUCUCUCCAUGCGGAGAAAUGAUGUAUCCGGUAUUAGCAUCCGUUUCCGGAAGUUAUCCCAGACUGAAAGGCAGGUUGCCUACGUGUUACUCACCCGUCCGCCGCUAACUGUCAGAGAAGCAAGCUUCUCUUCCAAUCCGCUCGACUUGCAUGUAUUAGGCAUGCCGCCA